This 339-nucleotide ribosomal RNA is filed under the name uncultured Pelotomaculum sp. RNAcentral's name for it is "bacterial SSU rRNA". It matches the Rfam family "Bacterial small subunit ribosomal RNA", at positions 1045 to 1382 of the family's 1533-position model. The record is from RNAcentral. Lineage: Bacteria; Bacillati; Bacillota; Clostridia; Eubacteriales; Desulfotomaculaceae.
AUGGUUGUCGUCAGCUCGUGUCGUGAGGAUGUUCGGGUUAAGUCCCGCAACGAGCGCAACCCCUACGUUAGUUGCUAACGCGUGAAGGCGAGCACUCUAGACGAACUGCCGUUGACAAAACGGAGGAAGGUGGGGAUGACGUCAAAUCAUCAUGCCCCUUAUGUUCUGGGCUACACACGUGCUACAAUGGCCGGUACAGACGGACGCAAAGCCGCGAGGUGGAGCAAAUCCUAAAAAGCCGGUCUCAGUUCGGAUUGCAGGCUGCAAUUCGCCUGCAUGAAGUCGGAAUCGCUAGUAAUCGCAGGUCAGCAUACUGCGGUGAAUACGUUCCCGGGCCUU